GUCACCAAGAAGAAUGUGUUUUUUUCAGAGCCUUGCUGAGGCCUGCAAGCUGGAGCUGCCGUGUGCCUCUGCCUGGUAAAGGUCCCUUUCACACCACUGCAGUUCUAACCAGAGUGGAGAAAGCAGGACAGGAAGCCAUGCCUGCCACAGAGCUGAAGACUCCCUACCUUUGGCUGUCAAGACCCAAAGCCUGUGCACAGACGUUUGGAGAGCAUUUUCCCUGACAUCGGAGAUAGUGGCCUCUCUUGCUUCUGCUCAGCUGUGUGGCCCUCCCACAUUCCUGCAGAUGGUAGAACCUGCUUCCCAGCGAGGAUUCCGGGAACGCCAGCAAUUCCCGUGAGGCUUUGCAGCCACCGAGGGUCAGAGCUGCGGCUUCAACCCAGCCUGGCCUGCAGACCUGAGGACCUGCCUGCAGCCCUGCAAGCAAACACCACCUGUUUCUGUGUCUGAUGAGACAGCAGCAAGACUCUCGUUUCUCCCACUGGCGCAUGGAUCCAGAGAUCCUGUCUUGUCUUCCGGCUCAGAAGAUGUAAAUGUGGCCUCACUGUGCAGGUCAGUGGCCAUGACUGUGGGGUCCCAGGAAGUGGUAGAAUCUCCGUCAGUCCAGCCCAGCUGUGGGGAGCAGCUGAGAUGAUUGAGCAGGGACGAGAGAUGGCCUCUCAGUGCUGCUGUUGGUCUGUGGGUGUUGGUUGUAUCAGCCUUCCUUCUGCUUGAGGGCAUCUGGGUUAAAUUCUGCCAACCAAGCACAAGGGGAUGCUCAACUGCGGAUAAUCCAAUGCUGAUCAGAUGCCUGGAUCCUGCCCCACUGGGUUUACACCUUGAUCUUCCCGAUUACACAGAACGGUG
Molecule: long non-coding RNA, 846 nt
Filed under: Fukomys damarensis (Damara mole-rat)
Lineage: Eukaryota; Metazoa; Chordata; Mammalia; Rodentia; Bathyergidae
Description: lncRNA (ENSFDAG00000023781.1)
Source: RNAcentral